GUUUUGGGUACUUCAAAUUACAAACAUAAUAAAUAAACAUAAGGGACGAUAUACAGUAGCUGUUAAAAUGUCAUCUCCCUUGUGUACCCUGAAUAUGGAUAUAAACACCGUUUUUCUGCGUUUCUUCGACUAAUUCUUUCAUGGGUUUAUCUCGCAUAGUGUUAACGUCUUUCUCCUUGUUGAAAUGGCAAUUGUGACCAUGCCAGUAACAUCCUAAUUAAAUAAGGUAUAAAAAUGAAUAAACCUGAAAAGAGAGAUGUUAAACCUACAAAGAGAAACAACCAUGCAAUUGCUUAAAACUCAUUAAGCUCAUCCUAAGCACAAAGUACGCCCCUUGCCAAAAACUCAUUAACCCCCUCCCACGCAAUUAAGUUAAUCCUAACUAAUUACCUUAAAACAACAACUUAUAGUCCACUAAUUGCUUGAUGAUUUCUCUCGUAUUUCCAGAUGAAAAGAAACACUUGGGUUGAUCAUAUCCAGGUGCGUCCGGGC
This is a non-coding RNA of Paramuricea clavata, 492 nucleotides long. NCBI's taxonomy places the organism in Eukaryota, Metazoa, Cnidaria, Anthozoa, Malacalcyonacea, Plexauridae. The record is from the annotation of a GenBank genome assembly.